CAGUGGGGAAUAUUGGACAAUGGGCGAAAGCCUGAUCCAGCAACGCCGCGUGAGGGAUGACGGCCUUCGGGUUGUAAACCUCUUUCAGCAGGGACGAAGCGCAAGUGACGGUACCUGCAGAAGAAGCACCGGCCAACUACGUGCCAGCAGCCGCGGUAAUACGUAGGGUGCGAGCGUUGUCCGGAAUUAUUGGGCGUAAAGGGCUCGUAGGCGGUUUGUCACGUCGGGAGUGAAAACUCAGGGCUUAACCCUGAGCCUGCUUCCGAUACGGGCAGACUAGAGGUAUGCAGGGGAGAACGGAAUUCCUGGUGUAGCGGUGAAAUGCGCAGAUAUCAGGAGGAACACCGGUGGCGAAGGCGGUUCUCUGGGCAUUACCUGACGCUGAGGAGCGAAAGUGUGGGGAGCGAACAGGAUUAGA
RNAcentral lists this ribosomal RNA (418 nucleotides) under uncultured bacterium. RNAcentral describes it as "bacterial SSU rRNA". It matches the Rfam family "Bacterial small subunit ribosomal RNA", at positions 352 to 782 of the family's 1533-position model. The record is from RNAcentral.